UCUAUUUCAUAUCUAUUCAUAUAUAAUAGGAGAGGCAAAGCAAGGAUAUGAUGACAAGUGUCAUCACCAGAAAAAUCUCAAAUUUAAAAAGAAAAAUAAAUAAAUAAAACACUUAGCAAACUUAUUAAGAAAUAAAAAACUGCAAGUUGCGAAACAGUGACAUCAUCGCAAGUGUGUAACCACAAAACUCAAAUUUAAAGUAGAAACAGAAAAAUGAAAAAAAAAAAAAAAAAAAAGAGAAAAAAAAAGUGGCACUUCACAAAACACGCAUACUACACAAAAACUGCGAAAUAAAACUGCCCACUCACUUUUAUCCCGCUUAUUUUUUAGAGUUCCAAUAAGUGAUGAUAACCUCUUCCACUUGCUCCAAUUUCCCACUCUCUCCCUCUCUUCUCUUUUUCAGUUUCUCCAGAAAAAAAAAAAUUGUGCAAUUUAGUAAAAUCAAUCUUGAUUUUUUUUCUUAUCCUAUUGUUCAAUAGAUCUAUAUUUAAUUGAUUUUUUUCUUUGUGGGAUGUAAAAGUGCAGGGUAUGUACAAAUUUCUGAAAGAGAAGGCUUGGAUUUGAAUGCUGAAGCCAUUUUUAAAUCUGUUUUUUGAAUAGGAUAUACAGCAUUCAUUUUGAAGGGGGAAAUCAAAUUUUGAAGAUAAAAGAUGUUCCAUGUCACAAUAACGAACGAUACCGAAUUCGGUUAUUGGGAAGGACAGUAUCUUCAGCAAGGGAUGUUUGCUACGCAAAAGAACGAUCUUAUUCGGUGUCAACAGAUGACACAGAAAGGGAUGAGCUUUUCCAUUGAGAUGAUUUCCUACAAAAACUAUUUAUGUUUGGGUUCUUUAGAAAACCAAUUGCUUAAUACUUUUUACUUUUUAAUUGGAUGUUGUCAUAUAGAUUUCCCUAUCGUUUCCAGGGAUCAAAGCAAUGAUAGGGAAAAUGUUAUGUCUGUGAAAUUGUGAACCUGGGAGAGUCCCACAUUUUUUCUUUACGGUUGAUGGUUAUUAGUGGCUGUUAUUGCAUGCUUAUGUUGAGCAGGAAUGAUAUCAGAUCUGACCAUCAAACGAAGAAAGAUAUGCAGGAUCAAGAAGGGGAUGUGACUGAUGCAGAAACAGAUGUGUAAUUUUCUUAGUUUGUAUCAUUCUCAUGGAUGUAGGUAGCCGUGAAAUCUAGGUCAUUGACAGAUAGAGAAGGAGGCUAUUAGAGUAAACCAUGAUAAGGUAUGUAGUUUUGUGUUUCACUUUCCCUCUAAUCAUUUUUCUACUCUUAUAUCUGUAAAGCACUGUAUUUUUUCUUUGAACAUGAUUAUUAUAUAGAGAUAACACUGAUGAAUGUAUUUGCUUCAUGACAACACUGAUGAAUGUAGGAGGUUGUUAUUUAGAUCCUGACCUGCCAAAGAAUUAUUUUGAUCACAUUCAGAAUCGUAGCAGAGACAGAAUAUAUGCUUUUGAUUAUGCAUUUGGACCUAAAUCCACAAAUUUAGCAAGUAUUUCGUCUUAUCUGCAUGGAAUUUCAAUUGAAAAACUAAACUUUUAUUUGAAAUACAAGGUGUGCAACAGUACUAUGUCUAUACAUAUGCUAUUGUUCUAUUGUAACACGUCUCUAAUCUCUUAUAGGUUUGGAGAAUUAGGGGGAUCUUUCAAGUAUCAACUACAAUGGGAUUAAUACUAAUUUUCAGAGUUUGAGAAUAUCAUAUUAUUUGCUUUAUAAAAGGGCUCAAUGUAAAAUUGAUGGUGGAUAGCAGAAGGAGUUAUUUCAACAAAUUGUGAAUUUUUGUUUUUGUGUUAUUUCAAAGCACGAUUUCUAAUUUGCUUUUGCUUUUAAUGUUUUAGAACUUUAGGAAUCGAUAGUACAUGUUCUUUUAUUUUUUUUUAUUCUUUGCCUUCACCUCUAAAUUCAAUUUGAUGUGUCUUUUAUUUUUGACACAAAAUGUAUUUAAGUUGGUGUAAAUCUACACAUUUUGUGUUUAAAUUUAAGUUUAAGUCCUUAUUCGAAAAGGAAAUAUCAUCUUAAAGAUGAUUUAUUGAGAUUUUGCUUCGCUUAUUAUUUUUGAAUCAUGUAAUAUCUUCAUGUUGUUUGUACCACAGACUUAUAUAAUAGAGAAUAUCAUAGCUAUGGGUUUUCCUAAAAGCGACAUGAGCUCUGGUAUCUUUGGAUAUGUCGAGGUAAAGAUCGCCCAUAAUUACUUUUUUAUAAAUUUUCCACUUAUUCCAGACCUGCAUUUCUCAAACAUAUCAGAUUGGAUGAUACUGGGGUUCCAUAGAAAUCACAUGGAGGAAGUGAUCAAUUUUUUCGAGACUCAUCAUCAGGUACUUAAGUAAACCUGAUCGCUUUUUCUCCCCAAUAAGUCUAUUGAAGUGCAUCUUAUACUUUUUACAAGAAUACAGCUUCUCGAAACACUAUGAGCCAUGAUUUUGCAGAGUAGAGAGUGCUCCAUGGUUGCUGUAAAAGUGGCUGCUCAUCAUGAUGUUUUUAUGGACCUUCAGUUGCCAACUUCCAUUAGAACAAUUUCCGGUAGUUUCUUAGGGAUGUUAACAUUCAGAAUUUUGCUUUCUUUCAAGUUGUAUUUGUUUUUUGUGAUAGUAGUAUAUAAUGGAGCCUGUCUAACAAGACAACUGCAGUAGCAUUUGAGUGUUGCCUUUCUCAACACUCAAAUAAAUUCUAGAGAAAGGGUGAGAUGAUAAGAGAAAUGCUCUUUUCUUUGCCUUCACCCCUAAAUUUUAUUUUACGGAUUGCAUCUUUAAAAUUCUCACAUUUGUGGAUAUUAACUUUUGCAGUAUGUACUGGUCUUUCGGAGAUUGUUGGACUCGAAUGUACUCAACGAUAACAAUUAUGAUUUACUGGCAGUGGAAAUAUCACUUCCUCCUUUCAUGAAAGAUAAACAAAGGAGGAACAAAACUGCAUAGCAAGGAAUUUUGAUACAAAGAUUCGUUCUAAUAAUGCAGCCCAAAAGGCAAAGGGAAAAAUAUGCAAGCUCCUUGAUGACAUGGUUUACUAUGGCAUGCCUAUGGAUCAGCUCAAUUUUCAGCAUAAAAAUUCAUGUUCUAAUGCAUAUAUAUUAAUUGAGAGUUAUUUUUUAUUGUUUUCUUUUUACUGGCUAUUCAAUUGAUUUGGUUAUUUUGAUUUGUUGAAUAGAGAAAGAAGAAUGAAGGAGGGAGAAGAAGAGUGGCGAAUUACAGAAGAAGGAAAUGAAGAGGGAAAAGCGAAACUAUGACAAAUGAUAUGUGGGUUUUAUUGAAAUCACAUUUUCUUUAAGAAGGUUGUGUCUCCACAUUUUCAUUAAGAAGGUUGUGUCUCCAAAGUCAUCAAUAUCAUCUUGAAGUUUCAAAUGUUUAUUUUUAACGAUGUGUUCUGCUAAAUUAAAAAAAAAAAAAAAAAUCUUUUUUCAAAGUUGUGGUUGAUAUUGUUCUCAUUUUCCUUUUUAUGGUGCUCUUUUCGUUGGUUUUACAUUUGAUGUAGAUUUAACGGUUGUAAAUAUUAAUUAUCUGUUCUUCUAUCCGAUGAAUUGCAUAAUCUCUUAAUUAAAUUAAAGAGAAAAGAAUGCAUCCUGCCUUUGUGCUUU
This is a long non-coding RNA of Lycium barbarum (goji berry), 3550 nucleotides long. RefSeq lists it as uncharacterized. The transcript is spliced from 2 exons. The record is from RefSeq and is a predicted model, not a curated record. NCBI's taxonomy places the organism in Eukaryota, Viridiplantae, Streptophyta, Magnoliopsida, Solanales, Solanaceae.